GUAAGCCGCAGGAAGCCCAGCCCUCCAGCUUCCCAAGGUGCUUCCUGCAGAUAAGGGAGACUCCUGGGCCCCUUCCUGCUCCCUGCUCCCAGCCCCCUCCUCCCAUCCUGUCUCCACACCAGGGGAUCCUCAACUGCAGCACUCAGGCCACACCAGUAGCCUUGGGAGGGGCCUGCUAGGGCUUCACUUCCCUGUCAGGGAGGGUCCAUCCAGGCUGGAGGGCAGGCAGACCCACAGACAGCGCUGGAGUCGCAGCUCGGCCGGUCACUGGUGUCCUGGGGAGGUAGAGCUUUCCUCAGAGGGCAGCGGAGAGGAGCAGGGAGCCCGUGGUCCCGGGGAAGAGAUCCCUCCUCUGGCGGGAGGCAGAGGGCUUCCAGCCAGGCUGUUCCUGAAGGUGAUCCAGUGGGUGCGUCAGGGGCUCCAAGACCCUCUGCCGUCCCUCGCCCGGUGGUCCGCGACGCUCGCCCGCAGCGGAAGCGCGGCGUGGCCCUCGCCGCUCAGUCACUCCCCCGCGAGGGC
Ictidomys tridecemlineatus (thirteen-lined ground squirrel) is the source of this 519-nucleotide non-coding RNA. NCBI's taxonomy places the organism in Eukaryota, Metazoa, Chordata, Mammalia, Rodentia, Sciuridae. The record is from RefSeq and is a predicted model, not a curated record.